This 501-nucleotide ribosomal RNA is filed under the name uncultured bacterium. RNAcentral describes it as "partial 16S ribosomal RNA". It matches the Rfam family "Bacterial small subunit ribosomal RNA", at positions 29 to 523 of the family's 1533-position model. The record is from RNAcentral.
AUUGAACGCUGGCGGCAUGCCUUACACAUGCAAGUCGAACGGCAGCACGGGAGCAAUCCUGGUGGCGAGUGGCGAACGGGUGAGUAAAGUAUCGGAACGUGCCCAGUCGUGGGGGAUAACGUAGCGAAAGUUACGCUAAUACCGCAUACGAUCUAUGGAUGAAAGCGGGGGAUCGCAAGACCUCGCGCGAUUGGAGCGGCCGAUAUCAGGUUAGGUAGUUGGGGGGGUAAAGGCUCACCAAGACGAUGAUCAGUAGGUGGUCUGAGAGGAUGAUCAGCCACACUGGAACUGAAACACGGUCCAGACUCCUACGGGAGGCAGCAGUGGGGAAUCUUGCGCAAUGGACGAAAGUCUGACGCAGCCACGCCGCGUGAGUGAAGAAGGCCUUCGGGUUGUAAAGCUCUGUCGGAUGGGACGAAAAACACUAAGUUUAAGAGAUGUAGUGUCUGACGGUACCAUCAAAGGAAGCACCGGCUAACUCUGUGCCAGCCGCCGCAGUAA